UGGGUUACCUGCCCUUAACUCUGGGAUAAGCCUGGGAAACUGGGUCUAAUACCGGAUAUGACCUCUCAUCGCAUGGUGAGGGGUGGAAAGUUUUUGUGGUUUUGGAUGGACUCGCGGCCUAUCAGCUUGUUGGUGAGGUAAUGGCUCACCAAGGCGACGACGGGUAGCCGGCCUGAGAGGGUGACCGGCCACACUGGGACUGAGACACGGCCCAGACUCCGUACGGGAGGCAG
RNAcentral lists this ribosomal RNA (233 nucleotides) under uncultured bacterium. RNAcentral describes it as "partial 16S ribosomal RNA". It matches the Rfam family "Bacterial small subunit ribosomal RNA", at positions 118 to 351 of the family's 1533-position model. The record is from RNAcentral.